Molecule: transfer RNA, 75 nt
Filed under: Candidatus Terraquivivens tikiterensis
Lineage: Archaea; Thermoproteati; Nitrososphaerota; Candidatus Wolframiiraptoraceae
Description: Aigarchaeota archaeon NZ13_MG1 tRNA-Glu
Rfam family: tRNA
About the family: Transfer RNA (tRNA) molecules are approximately 80 nucleotides in length. Their secondary structure includes four short double-helical elements and three loops (D, anti-codon, and T loops). Further hydrogen bonds mediate the characteristic L-shaped molecular structure. tRNAs have two regions of fundamental functional importance: the anti-codon, which is responsible for specific mRNA codon recognition, and the 3' end, to which the tRNAs corresponding amino acid is attached (by aminoacyl-tRNA synthetases). tRNAs cope with the degeneracy of the genetic code in two manners: having more than one tRNA (with a specific anti-codon) for a particular amino acid; and 'wobble' base-pairing, i.e. permitting non-standard base-pairing at the 3rd anti-codon position.
Source: RNAcentral
GCCCCGGUGGUGUAGCCCGGUCAAGCAUGCGGGCCUUUCGAGCCCACGACCCGAGUUCGAAUCUCGGCCGGGGCA